RNAcentral lists this ribosomal RNA (427 nucleotides) under uncultured bacterium. RNAcentral's name for it is "bacterial SSU rRNA". It matches the Rfam family "Bacterial small subunit ribosomal RNA", at positions 355 to 775 of the family's 1533-position model. The record is from RNAcentral.
UCGAGAAUUUUUGACAAUGGGGGAAACCCUGAUCGAGCGACGCCGCGUGGAGGAUGAAGGUCUUCGGGUUGUAAACUCCUGUCAUUUGGGAACAAGGCGCGUGUAUUAACUGUGCACGCGUUGAUAGUACCAGAAGAGGAAGGGACGGCUAACUCUGUGCCAGCAGCCGCGGUAAUACAGAGGUCCCAAGCGUUGUUCGGAUUCAUUGGGCGUAAAGGGUGUGUAGGUGGCGCCGUAAGUCGGGUGUGAAAUUUCGGAGCUUAACUCCGAAACUGCAUUCGAUACUGCGGUGCUUGAGGACUGGAGAGGAGACUGGAAUUUACGGUGUAGCAGUGAAAUGCGUAGAUAUCGUAAGGAAGACCAGUGGCGAAGGCGGGUCUCUGGACAGUUCCUGACACUGAGACACGAAGGCCAGGGGAGCAAACGG